AUAUGGUGCUGUUUUAAUGGUGAAAAUAAAUGAUAUGGGAAACUAUGGGUGCUAUCCAGAUUGUGAGGAGAAGAUGUCAAUGCCUCUUUUUGCUGAGGCUAACAUAAAUCUCAUGAGAAAAAGACCAAUGAAAUCAUUGGUAGCUCAUUUCCAGUACAGAUUUAUCUGAGAAUGUGACUCACUUCACCGGUGGUGUCCAAGACCCUCCUUGCACAUGAGCCAGCCCUCAAACUUUCGCCAGCGGUCACAUUGUGGAUCAAGAAAUGGAGAAUCUAGCAAUGAUAAAAUUCAUUAUUCCCAUUCUUCUACUAAUCACCAGCAGGAGACACCUCUGCCUAGUCUCACGCCAUCGCCACUUGUCUCCAGGGAGAAGGGGUAAAAUGAAAUAGUUUGUGACGGUACAUAACUUGAAACAAAUUGAUUCAAUUUAAGUCUUGAUUCCUUGUUUAAAUACAUUGGAUGGAUAUCAAGUGUGGACAGAGAACUAGUGCUACAAGUGUUACUUUAUGCCUUGGAAAUUGCGAUAAGAUGGAUAUCAAGUUCAUAUGAUUGCAGCAUUACAUUUUCAUGUGCCAUAAUUCUCAUCUUGGCAUAGCUUACUCCUUACUCAUGGCACUUAA
Non-coding RNA from Camellia sinensis, 620 nucleotides. The record is from RefSeq and is a predicted model, not a curated record. NCBI's taxonomy places the organism in Eukaryota, Viridiplantae, Streptophyta, Magnoliopsida, Ericales, Theaceae.